CGGUACCAAGAGCUGCAAGACCGCGAGGUGGAGCUAAUCUCAUAAAACCGUUCUCAGUUCGGAUUGUAGGCUGCNACUCGCCUACAUGAAGCUGGAAUCGCUAGUAAUCGCGGAUCAGCAUGCCGCGGUGAAUACGUUCCCGGGCCUUGUACACACCGCCCGUCACACCACGAGAGUUUGUAACACCCGAAGUCGGUGGGGUCACCUUCCCCGAGCCAGCCGCCUAAGGUGGGANNAGAUGAC
RNAcentral lists this ribosomal RNA (243 nucleotides) under low G+C Gram-positive bacterium B773. RNAcentral describes it as "partial 16S ribosomal RNA". It matches the Rfam family "Bacterial small subunit ribosomal RNA", at positions 1235 to 1475 of the family's 1533-position model. The record is from RNAcentral. Lineage: Bacteria; Bacillati; Bacillota.